GCGCCCGUAGCUCAGUUGGAUAGAGCGCCGGCCUCCGGAGCCGGAAGCGGGGGUUCAAGUCCCUCCGGGCGUA
RNAcentral lists this transfer RNA (73 nucleotides) under Candidatus Amunia macphersoniae. Its description in RNAcentral is "tRNA-Arg". It matches the Rfam family "tRNA". From Rfam's summary of the family: Transfer RNA (tRNA) molecules are approximately 80 nucleotides in length. Their secondary structure includes four short double-helical elements and three loops (D, anti-codon, and T loops). Further hydrogen bonds mediate the characteristic L-shaped molecular structure. tRNAs have two regions of fundamental functional importance: the anti-codon, which is responsible for specific mRNA codon recognition, and the 3' end, to which the tRNAs corresponding amino acid is attached (by aminoacyl-tRNA synthetases). tRNAs cope with the degeneracy of the genetic code in two manners: having more than one tRNA (with a specific anti-codon) for a particular amino acid; and 'wobble' base-pairing, i.e. permitting non-standard base-pairing at the 3rd anti-codon position. Lineage: Bacteria; Bacillati; Candidatus Dormiibacterota; Candidatus Dormibacteria; Candidatus Aeolococcales; Candidatus Aeolococcaceae. The record is from RNAcentral.